UUUCCUUUUCUUUAGUGCGGACAACCAGGACUAUAUCCGUGUUGCUUGUUAUGUUCUUUUAUCCCUACGAUUUAACAAGCGUCAAGUCCUUGGAGAGAGCAAGUUUGGGGCCUACGCCGGUUCCUGUUGAUCAUCUUAAUGCUCUUUUGUUCUUCUAGUGUCGCGACUACUCUUGCAGGUGGAUCGUGUUGAGAUUAGCAAGGGCUGGUAGAUCAUACAGCU
This is a small nucleolar RNA of 222 nucleotides. It matches the Rfam family "Small nucleolar RNA snR35".